GUUACAAAAGAUACUUACACAUAUUUUCCCUGUACAGUGAAUGAAAUCAGUCCAGCUGCCCUUGAGGUGUGGGAACAGGGUGUCAUGUACUGGAAGCAUGGGUAGAGAGAUCAUCUGUGUAUAUGGGUAGAGAGGUCAUCUGUGUAUAUGGGUAGAGAGGUCAGCUGUGUAUAUGGGUAGAGAGGUCAGAGGUCAGCUGUGUAUAUGGGUAGAGAGGUCAGAGGUCAUCUGUGUAUAUGGGUAGAGAGGUCAGAGGUCAUCUGUGUAUAUGGGUAGAGAGGUCAUCUGUGUAUAUGGGUAGAGAGGUCAGAGGUCAGCUGUGUAUAUGGGUAGAGAGGUCAGAGGUCAGCUGUGUAUAUGGGUAGAGAGGUCAUCUGUGUAUAUGGGUAGAGAGGUCAUCUGUGUAUAUGGGUAGAGAGGUCAGAGGUCAGCUGUGUAUAUGGGUAGAGAGGUCAUCUGUGUAUAUGGGUAGAGAGGUCAUCUGUGUAUAUGGGUAGAGAGGUCAGCUGUGUAUAUGGGUAGAGAGGUCAGAGGUCAGCUGUGUAUAUGGGUAGAGAGGUCAGAGGUCAGCUGUGUAUAUGGGUAGAGAGGUCAGCUGUGUAUAUGGGUAGAGAGGUCAUCUGUGUAUAUGGGUAGAGAGGUCAGAGGUCAUCUGUGUAUAUGGGUAGAGAGGUCAGCUGUGUAUAUGGGUAGAGAGGUCAUCUGUGUAUAUGGGUAGAGAGGUCAGAGGUCAUCUGUGUAUAUGGGUAGAGAGGUCAGCUGUGUAUAUGGGUAGAGAGGUCAGCUGUGUAUAUGGGUAGAGAGGUCAGAGGUCAUCUGUGUAUAUGGGUAGAAGCAGUGUUGCUGAGGUGAUGGGC
Molecule: long non-coding RNA, 857 nt
Organism: Clupea harengus (Atlantic herring)
Lineage: Eukaryota; Metazoa; Chordata; Actinopteri; Clupeiformes; Clupeidae
Source: Ensembl